Molecule: small RNA, 575 nt
Filed under: Pan troglodytes (chimpanzee)
Lineage: Eukaryota; Metazoa; Chordata; Mammalia; Primates; Hominidae
Description: retained intron
Source: RNAcentral
GAGUAACAUGGUUAUUUGGUUUCUUGUGCUCUUUUCUCUUCUCUUUAGAAAAGAGAGCCUAGAAAAUAAAAAGAACAACAAACCAGAAGUCAACCAGAUAGCCAACAGUGACAACAAGGUUACAAUUGAUGACUAUAGAGAAGAGGAUGAAGACAAGGACCCCUACCCGCCUUGCGAUGUGCCAGUAGGGGAAGAGGAAGAGGAAGAGGAGGAGGAUGAACCUGAGGUUCCUGCCGGACCCCGUCCUCGAAGGAUCUCGGAGUUGAACAUGAAGGAAAAAAUUGCCCCCAUCCCUGAAGGGAGCGCUUUCUUCAUUCUUAGCAAGACCAACCCGAUCCGCGUAGGCUGCCACAAGCUCAUCAACCACCACAUCUUCACCAACCUCAUCCUUGUCUUCAUCAUGCUGAGCAGCGCUGCCCUGGCCGCAGAGGACCCCAUCCGCAGCCACUCCUUCCGGAACACGAUACUGGGUUACUUUGACUAUGCCUUCACAGCCAUCUUUACUGUUGAGAUCCUGUUGAAGAUGACAACUUUUGGAGCUUUCCUCCACAAAGGGGCCUUCUGCAGGAACUACU